AUUGAACGCUGGCGGCAUGCCUUACACGUGCAAGUCGAACGGCAGCACGGGUGCUUGCACCUGGUGGCGAGUGGCGAACGGGUGAGUAAUACAUCGGAACGUACCUUAUCGUGGGGGAUAACGCAGCGAAAGCUGUGCUAAUACCGCAUACGCCCUGAGGGGGAAAGCGGGGGAUCGCAAGACCUCGCGCGAUUAGAGCGGCCGAUGCCUGAUUAGCUUGUUGGUGGGGUAAAAGCCCACCAAGGCGACGAUCAGUAGCUGGUCUGAGAGGACGAUCAGCCACACUGGGACUGAGACACGGCCCAGACUCCUACGGGAGGCAGCAGUGGGAAUUUUGGACAAUGGGGGCAACCCUGAUCCAGCAAUGCCGCGUGAGUGAAGAAGGCCUUCGGGUUGUAAAGCUCUUUUGUCAGGGAAGAAACACCGGCUCUAACACAGUCCGGGAAUGACGGUACCUGAAGAAUAAGCACCGGCUAACUACGUGCCAGCCGCCGCUGUAA
This 500-nucleotide ribosomal RNA is filed under the name uncultured bacterium. Its description in RNAcentral is "partial 16S ribosomal RNA". It matches the Rfam family "Bacterial small subunit ribosomal RNA", at positions 30 to 523 of the family's 1533-position model. The record is from RNAcentral.